RNAcentral lists this ribosomal RNA (799 nucleotides) under uncultured Rhizophagus. RNAcentral's name for it is "SSU rRNA". It matches the Rfam family "Eukaryotic small subunit ribosomal RNA", at positions 314 to 1114 of the family's 1831-position model. The record is from RNAcentral. Lineage: Eukaryota; Fungi; Glomeromycota; Glomeromycetes; Glomerales; Glomeraceae.
AUCAACUUUCGAUGGUAGGAUAGAGGCCUACCACGGUGGUAACGGGUAACGGGGUGUUAGGGCACGACACCGGAGAGGGAGCCUGAGAAACGGCUACCACAUCCAAGGAUGGCAGCAGGCGCGCAAAUUACCCAAUCCCGACACGGGGAGGUAGUGACAAUAAAUAACAAUACGGGGUUCUUUCGGAUUUCGUAAUUGGAAUGAGUACAAUUUAAAUCUCUUAACGAGGAACAAUUGGAGGGCAAGUCUGGUGCCAGCAGCCGCGGUAAUUCCAGCUCCAAUAGCGUAUAUUAAAGUUGUUGCAGUUAAAAAGCUCGUAGUUGAAUUUCGGGGUCAGUAGAUUGGUCGUGCCACUGGUAUGUACUGGUCUUACUGGCUCCUCCUUCCUGAUGAACCGUAAUGCCAUUAAUUUGGUGUUGCGGGGAGACUGGACUGUUACUUUGAAAAAAUUAGAGUGUUUAAAGCAGGCUAACGCUUGAAUACAUUAGCAUGGAAUAAUGAAAUAGGACGUUCGAUCUUAUUUUGUUGGUUUCUAAGAUUGACGUAAUGAUUAAUAGGGAUAGUUGGGGGCAUUAGUAUUCAAUUGUCAGAGGUGAAAUUCUUGGAUUUAUUGAAGACUAACUACUGCGAAAGCAUUUGCCAAGGAUGUUUUCAUUAAUCAAGAACGAAAGUUAGGGGAUCGAAGACGAUCAGAUACCGUCGUAGUCUUAACCAUAAACUAUGCCGACUAGGGAUCGGAUGAUGUUAAUUUUUUAAUGACUCAUUCGGCGCCUUACGGGAAACCAAAGUGUUUGGGUUC